AUAAACACAAUGAACAGAAAGAAGUAGCAAAAUCAGCACCUUUAGAGAGACUGUGGUUGGUGAAAACAGUUGGUGACGAUUUUGUGAAAUGCAUCUGGAAGUGGUUUGGGCGAAAUAGAGGUAGCUCAAAACGAUUGGCGUCGUUACACGCUUAGAGGCAGCUGUAAAAAUGGAUAGCUGUAAAAAAAAGUGGAACCACGCAGGAAAAGUGCGUCUUUUAG
This 221-nucleotide non-coding RNA is filed under the name Enterococcus phoeniculicola. Its description in RNAcentral is "T-box sequence". It matches the Rfam family "T-box leader". From Rfam's summary of the family: Uncharged tRNA acts as the effector for transcription antitermination of genes in the T-box leader family. T-boxes are found upstream of many aminoacyl-tRNA synthetase genes and some amino acid biosynthetic genes usually in Gram-positive bacteria. The anticodon of a specific tRNA base pairs to a specifier sequence within the T-box motif, and the NCCA acceptor tail of the tRNA base pairs to a conserved bulge in the T-box antiterminator hairpin. Lineage: Bacteria; Bacillati; Bacillota; Bacilli; Lactobacillales; Enterococcaceae. The record is from RNAcentral.